This 253-nucleotide ribosomal RNA is filed under the name uncultured bacterium. Its description in RNAcentral is "partial 16S ribosomal RNA". It matches the Rfam family "Bacterial small subunit ribosomal RNA", at positions 524 to 776 of the family's 1533-position model. The record is from RNAcentral.
UACGUAGGGUCCGAGCGUUGUCCGGAAUUACUGGGCGUAAAGAGCUCGUAGGUGGUUUGUCGCGUUGUUCGUGAAAACUCACAGCUCAACUGUGGGCGUGCGGGCGAUACGGGCAGACUGGAGUACUGCAGGGGAGACUGGAGUUCCUGGUGUAGCGGUGGAAUGCGCAGAUAUCAGGAGGAACACCGGUGGCGAAGGCGGGUCUCUGGGCAGUAACUGACGCUGAGGAGCGAAAGCGUGGGGAGCGAACAGG